GACGAACGCUGGCGGCGUGCCUAACACAUGCAAGUCGAACGGAAAGGCCCUGCUUUUGUGGGGUGCUCGAGUGGCGAACGCGUGAGUAACACGUGUGUAUCCUGCCCUUGUCUUUGGGAUAACUUCACGAAACUGGGGCUAAUAUCGGAUAGGAUCUCCUGCACCAUGGGGGGCGUUGGAAAGUUUCGGCGGUUGGGGAUGGACUCGCGGCUUACGCGCUGGCUGGUGGGGUAGUGGCAUUCCAAGGCUUUGACGGAUAGCCGGCCUGGGAGGGUAGACGGGCACAUUGCGCCUGCGGGACGGAGCAGACGCCAACGGGAGGCAGCGGGGGGAAGUAUUGCACAGUGGGCGGAAGCCUGAGACGACGACGCCGCGUGCGGAAUGACCGCCUUCGGGUUGUAAACCGCUUUCGCCUGUGACGAAGCGUGAGUGACGGUAAUGGGUAAAGAAGCACCGGCUAACUACGUG
RNAcentral lists this ribosomal RNA (468 nucleotides) under uncultured bacterium. Its description in RNAcentral is "partial 16S ribosomal RNA". It matches the Rfam family "Bacterial small subunit ribosomal RNA", at positions 28 to 507 of the family's 1533-position model. The record is from RNAcentral.